Molecule: ribosomal RNA, 526 nt
Filed under: uncultured bacterium
Lineage: Bacteria
Description: partial 16S ribosomal RNA
Rfam family: Bacterial small subunit ribosomal RNA
Source: RNAcentral
UGGGGAAUUUUGGACAAUGGGCGAAAGCCUGAUCCAGCAAUGCCGCGUGUGUGAAGAAGGCCUUCGGGUUGUAAAGCACUUUUGUCCGGAAAGAAAUCCUUGGCUCUAAUACAGUCGGGGGAUGACGGUACCGGAAGAAUAAGCACCGGCUAACUACGUGCCAGCAGCCGCGGUAAUACGUAGGGUGCAAGCGUUAAUCGGAAUUACUGGGCGUAAAGCGUGCGCAGGCGGUUUGCUAAGACCGAUGUGAAAUCCCCGGGCUCAACCUGGGAACUGCAUUGGUGACUGGCAGGCUAGAGUAUGGCAGAGGGGGGUAGAAUUCCACGUGUAGCAGUGAAAUGCGUAGAGAUGUGGAGGAAUACCGAUGGCGAAGGCAGCCCCCUGGCAAGUACUGACGCUCAUGCACGAAAGCGUGGGGAGCAAACAGGAUUAGAUACCCUGGUAGUCCACGCCCUAAANGAUGUCAACUAGUUGUUGGGGGAUUCAUUUCCUUAGUAACGUAGCUAACGCGUGAAGUUGACCGCCU